UUGAAACAGUGACUUGCUUUU
Caenorhabditis elegans is the source of this 21-nucleotide non-coding RNA. Lineage: Eukaryota; Metazoa; Nematoda; Chromadorea; Rhabditida; Rhabditidae. The record is from Ensembl.